GUGCUGGUAGCUUAAUCGGAUAGAGCACUUGGCUACGAACCAAGAGGUUGGAGGUUCGAUCCCUCUCCAGCAUA
This is a non-coding RNA of Conger conger (European conger), 74 nucleotides long. NCBI's taxonomy places the organism in Eukaryota, Metazoa, Chordata, Actinopteri, Anguilliformes, Congridae. The record is from the annotation of a RefSeq genome assembly.